Molecule: long non-coding RNA, 1284 nt
Organism: Peromyscus californicus insignis
Lineage: Eukaryota; Metazoa; Chordata; Mammalia; Rodentia; Cricetidae
Exons: 2
Source: RefSeq, a predicted model, not a curated record
UGUACCAACACACAGAACACCCAUUCUUCUCCCUCCAAGGCACACAAACCACGUGAUGGAGAAGCAUGAAAAAGAGGCAGAGCCAGCCCCUGAGGUGGCUGCAGAAAACGAAUGCGCUUGUAGAAACUCUUCCUUGUGGAUCUUUUAUUUUAGAAAGGUUUACUCAAAGCCCACAGAAGCAAGAAACAGCCAAGUUUCCACUUUAAAAUUCCUGGGACAUAAAAGUUUUCAACUUGGCAACUGAAUCUUAAAAAUACAAAUUUCAAAUGCUAGCUUCGGAAUUCAAUUUAAACACAGAGACAAAUCCAGGAGGGAAGUUGGGAAGACUCCUCUUUCCAUAGCCAGAACGCAUGGAGGACUUGAAGUUUGUCAAAUAAAUAUUGGAGGAGAUGAACUCAGAUGACACUGAGGCGUGGUCUCUGAUGCUGCCAGAAUCUAGAAUCCUGGAGAACCAAAGCCGCAUCCGUGUAAUUCCGACCAUCAGGCAAGAAAAUACAAACGACCAAACAACGUUACUUCUUUGAGCUGAGAUCAGAUAAUCCUACUAAUCCAAUAGAUUUAUCUCGAUUGGAAAUUGACCUCAAAAAUGAAUUCCCAGUGCUGGUUGGUGUCCAGUAGAACGAUUCCGUAGCCUUAUCCGGGUUACCAAGAGCUGUGGUUUCUUUCUUUCUUUUUUUUUUUAAAUAAAAUUCUUUUUGGAUUCUGGGUGCACUGCUCGCAAAAAAAUGCCGAGGACCCUGGUUUUCCCUAAUACAGGUUUCUACUCCAAAUCCGUGCGGAAUGAAAAAUGGUACAAAGGUUCCCCUAGUGGCUCCAGGCGAUAUUGCAGGGAUUUCACUUUUUUCCUCCAUCGCUUCACCUUUUCCACCCCCACCCCCCACCCAGCUCCCCUGGCUUCUGGGUAUAACUUGCUGUUAUAGUAGCCAGGGGGUUGAACCCGAUUAAUACUAGUAGAAUAAAACUGCCUAAACACGUAGGGUGGCCUUUGGUUUGCACUGGAAGACUGAAGAUCUGUGUUUCUGACUCCUCAGUAUUUACAUUCUUCCCCGAUAGCAUUUAGUAGCUAACAUGCCAAUUUGGAGAAUCACUGUGAUAUCAAAGAAAUGUAUUUCCUAAAUACCAGUAGUCAGUAGUUAGUGUAUACACACACACACACACACACACACACACACACACACACACACACACACGCCCGGUCCUAGUCUUCCUGAAAUUCGUUGUUUUCAGAAAACUGCUUAACAUUUUGUUUCCUUUAAAUAUGUAUGAUAAAGGAUAUUAUUUAGA